This 72-nucleotide transfer RNA is filed under the name Camelus ferus (Wild Bactrian camel). It matches the Rfam family "tRNA". Rfam says of the family: Transfer RNA (tRNA) molecules are approximately 80 nucleotides in length. Their secondary structure includes four short double-helical elements and three loops (D, anti-codon, and T loops). The record is from Rfam by way of RNAcentral. Lineage: Eukaryota; Metazoa; Chordata; Mammalia; Artiodactyla; Camelidae.
GAAGGUGUAGCUCAGUGGUAGAGCAUGUGCUUGGCAUGCACGAGGUCCUGGGUUCAAUUCCCAGUACCUACA